AGUGAACGCUGGCGGUAGGCCUAACACAUGCAAGUCGAACGGCAGCACAGUAAGAGCUUGCUCUUACGGGUGGCGAGUGGCGGACGGGUGAGGAAUACAUCGGAAUCUACUUUUUCGUGGGGGAUAACGUAGGGAAACUUACGCUAAUACCGCAUACGACCUACGGGUGAAAGCAGGGGAUCUUCGGACCUUGCGCGAUUGAAUGAGCCGAUGUCGGAUUAGCUAGUUGGCGGGGUAAAGGCCCACCAAGGCGACGAUCCGUAGCUGGUCUGAGAGGAUGAUCAGCCACACUGGAACUGAGACACAGUCCAGACUCCUACGGGAGGCAGCAGUGGGGAAUAUUGGACAAUGGGCGCAAGCCUGAUCCAGCCAUACCGCGUGGGUGAAGAAGGCCUUCGGGUUGUAAAGCCCUUUUGUUGGGAAAGAAAAGCAGCAGGUUAAUACCCCGCUGUUCUGACGGGACCCAAAGAAUAAGCACCGGCUAACUUCGG
This 491-nucleotide ribosomal RNA is filed under the name uncultured bacterium. Its description in RNAcentral is "partial 16S ribosomal RNA". It matches the Rfam family "Bacterial small subunit ribosomal RNA", at positions 29 to 506 of the family's 1533-position model. The record is from RNAcentral.